Molecule: ribosomal RNA, 487 nt
Filed under: uncultured bacterium
Lineage: Bacteria
Description: bacterial SSU rRNA
Rfam family: Bacterial small subunit ribosomal RNA
Source: RNAcentral
AUGCAAGUCGAACGAGGCGAAGGGGGCGAACUCCUCCAGUCGAGUGGCGGACGGGUGAGUAACACGUGGGUAACCUGCCCGGAAGUGUGGAAUACCUCGGGGAAACUCGAGCUAAUACCGCAUGACAUCUUUGGACGACAGUCCUGACGAUCAAAGCGGGGUCGCAAGAUCUCGCGCUACCGGAUGGGCCCGUGCCCGAUUAGCUAGUUGGUGAGGUAACGGCUCACCAAGGCUUCGAUCGGUAACCGGCCUGAGAGGGCGAUCGGUCACACCGGAACUGAGACACGGUCCGGACUCCUACGGGAGGCAGCAGUGGGGAAUCUUGCGCAAUGGGCGAAAGCCUGACGCAGCAACGCCGCGUGGAGGAUGAAGGCCCUUUGGGGUUGUAAACUCCUGUCGGCUGGGAAGAAAUCGUGCGGUGCUCAUACCAUCGUACGUUGACUGUACCAGCAAAGGAAGCCCCGGCUAACUCUGUGCCAGCAGCUGC